RNAcentral lists this ribosomal RNA (2220 nucleotides) under human gut metagenome. RNAcentral's name for it is "bacterial LSU rRNA". It matches the Rfam family "Bacterial large subunit ribosomal RNA", at positions 14 to 2227 of the family's 2925-position model. The record is from RNAcentral.
AGGGCGUACGGCGGAUGCCUUGGCGAUAUCAGCCGAAGAAGGACGCGGUAAGCUGCGAUAAGCUACGGAGAGGUGCAAGCAACCUUUGACCCGUAGAUUUCCGAAUGGGGGAACCCGGCAGUGGUUAUGCACUGUCACCCAUACCUUUGAGUAUGAGGAGGGCACCUGGGGAACUGAAACAUCUAAUUACCCAGAGGAAGAGUAAUCAAACGAGAUUUUCUUAGUAGCGGCGAGCGAACGGGAAAGAGGCCAAACCGGAGCGGGCAACCGCACCGGGGUUGAGGACAGUCAUCAAGUGUAAAUGAGGUAGAAGAAUCGAGUUGGAAAGCUCAGCCGCAGAAGGUGAAAGCCCUGUAAUCGAAACCUUGCAUACAUGGGACUGUAUCCAGAGUACCACGAGACACGUGAAACCUUGUGGGAAGCAGGGGGGACCACCCUCCAAGCCAAAAUACUGAUAUCGACCGAUAGCGCAUAGUACCGUGAGGGAAAGGUGAAAAGAACCCCUGGCGGGGAGUGAAAGAGAACCUGAAACCGUAUGUCUACAAACAGUCGAAGUCUGUAUAUAUAUCAGGACGACGGCGUGCCUAUUGAAGAAUGAACCGACGAGUUACUGUUGCUAGCGAGGUUAAGUGGAAAACAUGGAGCCGCAGCGAAAGCGAGUCUGAACAGGGCGUUCAGUUAGUGAUAGUAGACCCGAAACCGUAGUGAUCUAUCCAUGGCCAGGUUGAAGCACAGGUAAAAUUGUGUGGAGGACCGAACUCGUGAGCGUUGAAAAGCUUUGGGAUGAGUUGUGGAUAGGGGUGAAAUGCCAAUCGAACACGGAGAUAGCUGGUUCUCCCCGAAAUAGCUUUAGGGCUAGCCUCGAGGUUGAGAGUAUAGGCGGUAGAGCACUGAUCGGGCUAGGGGCCAUACCGGUUACCGAACCUAGUCAAACUACGAAUGGCUAUACUUAUACUCGGGAGUCAGACAGUGAAUGAUAAGGUCCAUUGUCAAGAGGGAAACAGCCCAGAACACCGACUAAGGUCCCCAAUGUCAUACUAAGUGGCGAAGGAUGUGGAAUUUCCAAAACAACCAGGAUGUUGGCUCAGAAGCAGCCACCAUUUAAAGAGUGCGUAAUAGCUCACUGGUCGAGAGACGCUGCGCCGAAAAUGUCCGGGGCUAAAGUAUGAAACCGAAGUCGUGUCAUAUGCAGCAAUGUAUAUGGGUAGGGGAGCGUUCUCAUCGGAUUGAAGCAGUACCGUAAGGAGUUGUGGACUGGUGAGAAGUGAGAAUGUCGGUAUGAGUAGCGAAAAGAAUGGUGAGAAUCCAUUCCACCGAAAGCCUAAGGGUUCCUGAGCAACGAUCGUCGACUCAGGGUAAGUCGGGACCUAAGCCGAGGCGGAAAAGCGUAGGCGAUGGACAACAGGUUGAAAUUCCUGUACCGGUGUGAAUCGUUUGAUCGAAGGAGUGACACAGUAAGGUAGGUCAGCACGCGAUUGGAAGUGCGUGUUUAAGCAUGUAGGUUGAGUUAUAGGUAAAUCCGUAACUCUAAAAGCUGAGAUGUGAUGACGAGCUGUUUACAGCGAAGUGAUUGAUCCUACACUGUCGAGAAAAGCUUCUAGGGAGACACGAUCCGCCCGUACCAAAACCGACACAGGUAGGCGGGGAGAGAAUCCUAAGGUGCGCGGGAAAACCCUCGUUAAGGAACUCGGCAAAAUGCCUCCGUAACUUCGGGAAAAGGAGGACUCAUGUAGUGUGAAGGGCAGUAACGCGUGGAGCAUGAAUGAGUGGCACAAGAGAGGCCCAAGCGACUGUUUACCACAAACACAGGUGCCUGCUAAAGCGAAAGCUGAUGUAUAGGUGCUGACACCUGCCCGGUGCUGGAAGGUUAAGAGGAGGGGUUAGACUUCGGUCGAAGCUCUGAAUUGAAGCCCCAGUAAACGGCGGCCGUAACUAUAACGGUCCUAAGGUAGCGAAAUUCCUUGUCGGGUAAGUUCCGACCCGCACGAAAGGUGUAACGAUUUGGGCACUGUCUCAACGAGGGACCCGGUGAAAUUGAAGUACCUGUGAAGAUGCAGGUUACCCGCGACUGGACAGAAAGACCCCAUGGAGCUUUACUGCAACCUAAGAUUGAACUUAGUUAAUGAAUGUACAGGAUAGGUGGGAGACUUAGAAUCUAGGGCGCCAGUCUUAGAGGAGUCGUUGUUGGGAUACCACCCUUUGAUUAAUUGAUUUCUAACA